CAUGCCUGAAUCUGGAGUCCCUAUUUCUGGCUGUUCAGAUUGUUCCAAAGUGGGUGUGUCGCCCAUUAGAGAAAGGGAGGAAGAGUGGAAAUAGACCGCCAGGAGGAAACGCAAGGCAUGUGAUUGGUGCACCCUGGAGUUGUCCUCACCGCAGCCCUGGAUCGGACCACCCACGGGAGUGAGCAGAAACUGGAAUACGGUCAGCCUGGUGGUCCCCAAAGCCGCUCCCUCCCUCCCAGUCACAGUGCUCACACUGCCACUGUUAACUGGCAGGACACUGGAUCCAGAGGACAGCAAUGAGACAUCCAGGACCUGAGUCUGGGCCCAAGGACAUCUGAAGGAGACCAGCCCCUGCCCCAUUAAGUGCGUUUCUCCCAGAUCCCAGGCAGGCUCCUCCUUGGAGGCAGUUGGGUUUUGCACUCCCCCAUCGCUGAGUUUUUGUUUCAUCCGUCAAGGUCCCAUCUUCUGAAUUUGCUGACAUCUCUCACCUGGAUUGUCUUUGCCUGGCUUGUCUUCUGCUGACUGCUCAUCCACUCCCCAACCUCAUGGGGCUGGGGUUCUCAGAGCACAUCCAUGCACCGUCUUGUUUGUCUACACCUUUUCCUGAGGUGAGCCCAGCCAUUCCCAAGCUGUUAAUGUCUCCAUUCACAUUGGACACAGGCUGAGUCAGUCAGUUUCUCCCUCCAAGAAUUUGGACUAUUGACCUGAGAGGCAAAGACUAGGGCUCCUUGGAAGUGAGCAUGCUUUUAGCAACAUUCUAGAACAAGCAGUGAUACUGGAAAUACUGUCUCAGGCCAGAGAAGGUUGGUAAAUUGUUGGUUCUCUAUCUUCAACAAGGUAAGCACAGAAAUUGAGUGAUCAUUUAGAAAUUUA
This 873-nucleotide long non-coding RNA is filed under the name Equus caballus (horse). Its description in RNAcentral is "lncRNA (ENSECAG00000053312.1)". The record is from RNAcentral. Lineage: Eukaryota; Metazoa; Chordata; Mammalia; Perissodactyla; Equidae.